Non-coding RNA from Pelobates cultripes (western spadefoot toad), 217 nucleotides. The record is from the annotation of a GenBank genome assembly. Lineage: Eukaryota; Metazoa; Chordata; Amphibia; Anura; Pelobatidae.
CUGCCCCUCCCAGCUAAAUAACCCUUUCCAUUUUUUUUUCUCCAAAAUAUAGCUGUAUGUGAGGCCAUGACUUACUUCUAGGAUAUCCUUAUGUAGAUGUUGAUGUGAGGUGUUAAAGGUACAACAUAACAGCUGAAUUUCAUCUCCCAGAAUCCUUGCAAUGGCACUAAAGUUCUACUUAUGGGUGAAGCUUAGCAGUGCUAUAUCAAAUUAAGUG